Molecule: ribosomal RNA, 521 nt
Filed under: uncultured bacterium
Lineage: Bacteria
Description: bacterial SSU rRNA
Rfam family: Bacterial small subunit ribosomal RNA
Source: RNAcentral
UGAGGAUUUUCUGCAAUGGGCGAAAGCCUGACCCAGCAAUACCGCGUGAGGGAUGAAGACUUCAUGAGUUGUAAACCUCGGUACCUUAGGGAAUAAUAUCUGACCGCACUUAAGGUGGAAAGCAUCAGCUAACGCCGUGCCAGCAGCCGCGAUAAAACGGGGGAUGCAAGUGUUAUCCGGAUUUACUGGGCGUAAAGCGACUGCAGGUGGUUUCUUAAAUCUACUGUGAAAGCUUGAGGCUCAACCUCUAAUCUUCAAUAUAAACUACGAGACUUGAGUAUAGUAUGGGUAAAGGGAAUUUCCAGAGGAGCGGUGAAAUGAUUAGAUAUAGAAAAGAACAGCGAUAGCGAACGCUCUCUACUGGGCUAUUACUGAAACUCAGAGACCAAGGCUAGGGGAGAGAUGGGAUUCAUACCCCAUACUCCUAGCCGUAAACGAUGGAACUCUAUGUAGGACGUAUCCACCCGUUCAUAUCUUAGCUAACACGUUACGAUCGCGCCUGGGGAGUACGCUCCAAGACU